RNAcentral lists this non-coding RNA (29 nucleotides) under Rattus norvegicus (Norway rat). The record is from RNAcentral. Lineage: Eukaryota; Metazoa; Chordata; Mammalia; Rodentia; Muridae.
UCUCAAGUUCAAAGGUUAAGGCAAGUAGC